GAUCUCUUGCAUGCUAUUGGAGUUACCUUUGGUGGCAUAAUUAGAUCUGAAAUCAAUGGUGAGUUUUGUCGCCUUAGAGUUAAUUUAGUUGUGCAGAAACCUUUAGAAGGGGUAUUUUUGUCUCAACAGAUAAUUGUAGUACAUCUUGGAUUCCUUUUAAAUAUGAGAGAUUACCUACUUUCUAUUUUGGCUGUGGAAGAAUGGGGCAUGGCCUUCAACAAUGUCAAGUGAUAAAACCUGCAGGAAAAUUCAAAAUUAGAGAUAACCCUCUUUUCUCUCUAGCGCUGAAAGCAGAAUUAAAUUUGCUUGGAAGAGAAAGUUUACAAUUUAAUGUUCUCUCAAAAAAGUUGCAACCAUAGUGUUUGUAUAUAGGAAGCUCAGAGGAGAGUCAAGGAGCACAUACACAAGAAGAAGAGAGUACUGAUUUGCUUUCGAAAAAAUAGGUUGACACUGGAUUGUUAGAAGUAGAGGAUAAGAAAGAGGGAUAAAAGGAAGAGAUACUCGUUGAAAGGAACGUCACUGGUAAUUAUUAUAUAGAUGACGACAUGUUGAAACCAACCAAGAAGUCCAGUUGGAAAAGAAUUGAGUCAAGGAAAAGGAGAAGCACUUAUGAGGGAGAGAGCAAAUUGCGAAAAAGGAAAUCAACAGAGGUUGAUGCUGAUGGGUGUGGUAUAGAAGGAUUCCUAGAAGAUAAAGUAAAAAAGAUGAGGUACGGUGGAAAGGAUUUGGAAUGUGAUGAUGGAGCAUAUUUGAUGGAAGAAAAUUUCAACAAAAAAGGAUCAACGGCUGCCAUGAGGAAAACCGACAGAACGCAAUGAAAAUAAUAUACUAGAAUGUCCGUGGACUGGGGAAUCCACGGGCAGUGAGAAGGCUUCGAUUUUUGCUGAAGCAACAAAACCCCUAAAUGGUCUUCUUUAUGGAGACUAAAAUUGAUGAAAAGCGGGUGGAGAAAAUUAGGAGAAGAUGUGGUUUUGGGAAUGGGAUUGAUGUCAGUACAGAAGGUUCUCGUGGAGGAAUUUGUCUAGCAUGGAAAGAAGAUGUCCAGGUUAGUUUGAAAAUGUUCUCAUUGACUCAUAUUGAUGUGCUAGUGAAAGAAGAGAAUAUCACGAAGGAAUGGAGGUUUACAAGCUUCUAUGGUUCACCUUAUAUACAUAAUAAAAAUGCCUCAUGGAAUCUAUUGAGGAUCUUGCGUUAGGAAUUGGAUCACCCUUGGCUAGUGGGUAGGGAUUUUAAUGAAAUAAUGUACUCUUUUGAAAAAAGCGGAGGUCAACCAAGAGAGGAGAAAAGGAUAGAAGCUUUCCGUGAGGUGCUAGAAGAAUUCCAUUUAACUGUUGUGGGUUAUAUGGGGAUAUGGUUUACAUGGGAAAGAGGAAAUAUGACAGAGACAAAUAUCAAGAAAAGGUUGGAUAGGGGUGUCGCGAAUGAAAAAUGGAUGAAGCUUUUUCCAAGAGGUAAUAUUCACCAUUUAACAUCUUUAUUAUCAUAUUAUUGCCCCCUUCUAAUUAAUACAACAACUGGAAAUAUUUUUAUGGGAAUUCCAAAAUUCAAAUUUGAGGCAUGGUGGACUAUGGAGGAAUCACUUGAACAAGAGGUCAUGGAAACGUGGGAGUCAUCAACUGGUCCGAUUGUUGAAAAAUUGCAAAUGUUGCUAAUCAGUUUGACAAGAUAGGCAAAAUCGAUAAAGAAGAAGCGGGACGAUUUGAAGAAUAAGCUUAUAAAGGGACUUGGAAACCUAAUGGAAAAAGAAGCAGAUGAUGAUAUACUGGAAAAAGCAAUGGAUACGAGAAUUCAGCUCAACAUGGAGAUAGAUAAAGAUGAAUUAUAUUGGGAACAACGAGCGCGAGCCAGUUGGCUCCAAUUAGAGGAUAGGAAUACAACCUUCUUUCAUAAGUUUGCAUCUACACGAAGAAGGAUAAACACAAUUAGCAGGUUGGAAACAAAUGAUGGCAAGGAAAUCUAUGAUGAAUCGGAAAUAAAAAGGGCGGCUACAGCUUAUUUCCAGAAUCUUUUUUCAUUUAAUGGCAUGGGGAAUCUAUCUCAUCUUUUAUCAGGUAUUGAUAACAGCAUUACACAAGACAUCAAUGCAACUUUAUUGGCAAAAUAUUCGGCAGAAGAAGUGUAUAUGGCAUUGAAAGGAAUGGGGCCCUCUAAAGCACCAGGCCAUUAUGGCUUCUCUGUAUUAUUUUUCCAAACUUUUUGGCACAUCGUGGACCCAGAUAUCGAAGAUUUUUGCUUGGUUGUCCUAAACGGAGGGAAGGAUUUCGACUCUUUAAACCAAACGGAAUUAGUACUUAUUCCAAAAAUCUCUAAUCCUACAAGUCUUGUGAAUUUUAGACCAAUUAGCCUAUGUACAGUUAUAUAUAAAAUUGUUGCCAAAACAAUUGCGAAUCGGCUUCAAGAAUUUAUUGGAAGAUGCAUUGACGAUGCUCAAAGUGCUUUGGUCCCGGGUAGGUUAAUAUCAGACAAUGUACUAAUAGCAUAUGAACUUCUACAUACACUACGGCAAAAACAGUUUGGGAAAAAGGGAUCAAUGGCAGUGAAAUUAGAUAUGAGUAAAGAUUAUGAUAGGGUUGUAACACCCCUAACCCAAAUCCGAUUGCGGGAUUAAGGUUAAGAGGUAUUACUGAACUAAACAUUUAAUUAUCUCAUUCACAGUGUCAAUAAACAUAAACAAAGAUCGAGCUGAAAUACAUACUGAUAUUUAAGUUAUACGCCAUUUUCGUAUGGCCAAAAUAUUUACAAUUUCAAAACAUUUUAAAUGUAUAGUACUUACUCGACGAUGGUUUACUGCGAACAUUCAAUAUCGUAAUCUUACUCAACUUACUGGCAUUAAGCCUGUCAGGUCUUAGGACUUGAAACCAAUUACCAACACAAGCCUGCGGGAAUUUAAACCCGGUAUAAUACCAGCUCGAAGCCUGCGGGACUUUAGCCCGGACAUAUUUCCAGCACGUAGCCUGCGGACCUUAAGUCCGGAUUUAAUUCCAGCACAUAGCCUGCGGACCCUAAGUCCGGAUAUAAUUCCAGCACAUAGCCUGCGGACCCUAAGUCCGGAUAUACAUCACUGAAUGUCAUGCAUACUUAUUCGCAAGAAAAUUCAAUUCACAUAACAUCUCACAAUCAUAGGUCAUUUAUUCCAUUCGAAUAAUAGAAUAACAUGGGCACCAUUCAUAUAAAUUUUGGCUCAAUAACAUACAUAAGAAUAUAUGUACAUUUUACUUUCGAAGCUUUCGACUUUAAGCCUUAAACAUAAAUUAUUUGUCACUCAACUAUAUUCAAAUAGAAUCAAUAGAUCGCAGUACAAUUAUCAUACACAUAUCAAGACAUUAUCAAUUACGUACUAAAUGUGACUACUCAAAACUUACCUCGGAUAUACUUGAACGGUUUCGAAAAGGCUACUCAAUUACUUUCUCUUUUCCCCUAUCCAACUUCGACCCUCUUUGCUCUUGAGCUUAAAUUCAAAAAUUUUAAACUAGUCAUUAUUCGACUAUUCAAGUAUUUCUUCAGAAAUAUAAUAUAUAUAUUCGACUUUCACACACAUAUAUCAUAGUAAGUUUAUAAGAAAACAUUAAGCAACUCCUUAACAAAUUUUCAUCAAUGAUUACCACAUAAUCACAAAUUCACAAUAAACUGUCUUCCUGAGCAAUAGUCACUAAAUUAUUUAUAAUUGGAGCUACGAAACUCCAAAUCAAUUGCCGUAAAAUUUCCCUGAAAAUAUACUCAUAUAUCUUUUAUCCAUAAAAUUUUCAGAAUUUUUAGUUUUGCCAAACAAUACCAGAUUUUUCUUAAAGUUUCCUCUGUUUCACUGUUUGACUAGUCUGACCACCCUUUACUACGAAUCAAAUUUCUAAUUGUACAGAAGUCAAAAUAUGUUCUCAUUGAUUUCAUUAGAAACUAGACUCAUUAAGAUUUAAUUACAUAAUUUAUUCAGCUUCUAACUCCACUCCCACAAUUUAUGGUGAUUUUUCAAAUUCACGUUACAGCUGCUGUCCCAAGCAGAUUUACUACAAUUUACUCUUUCACAACUCUUUGCAUUCAUAUUAUUUAAACAUGUAUAUCACCAAUCAAUUUCAUCACAAUUCUAUAAUUUCACUUAAGCAUAAUCUCAAUACAAUACAUCGUGUUCAAAUCAUUAUUCAAGUUCAAAUUCGACUAGCACACAUAUACAUACUAGCAACUAAGUAUUAACAUUGCAUUUCAUACUAUAACCGAAUGAAUAGCUCAUCAAAAUAUAUUUAUUCAUGUUCCCUUAACACAUAUUGGUCAACUAGAUCAUGCAUUAUUCUUUGGAACAUUUGGUCAUUAAAGCAAUCACCUAUUUAACUUUCAAGCAUUUUUAUACUAACAUAUCUCCCAAGGCCGAAUUCAUAUACAACCUUUAGUACUCAUUUAAAGUUAAUAUUUUAAGUAAUUUAUAUACACAACAUUAGCCAAAUAUCCAUUUACUAAGCAUUUUAACAAAUUUUCUAUUACCAAAUAAAUCACAUAUAUAUAACACUACUUAUUACACAUAUACAUCAACUAUCAAAAAUUCCCACUCCUUAGCUAUUGCCGUAUGCUUAUAUAAGUCUUGAGUCAUCUUUAACACAUUUAUCAAUCUUCCAAUUCAACUUAAUACAAAAAUAAUAUCAUUUAAACAGCCAACACCAAAACAUUUGUUCAAAUGGACCUAGUCGAAUACCUCACUUAGCUAAAUGAUUCACACAAAUCACUAAUAGCCAACUCAAAUUCAUCCUUAAUUUCUCCUAUAACAAAAUUCAUCAAAAUUUAAUAAGAAAUACAUCAAAUUCCAUGACCGAAUUUGCAUUUAUAAAAAAAAAAAAAAAACAAAAUCCUUGCAUCUCGUCAAUAUGUCCAAUUGCAAAAAUUGCUUAAUUCAUCACCUAAGCAACAUGAAACUCCAUUACAAUCACAAUUAUUCAUUCCUUAAAACCAACAUUCAACUAUCAAUAAUUUAGCAAAACUCAUGUAAAUGGCCGAAUGCUAUAUCCUCGACCAAAACUAAAGUUUUAACAUGGGCUACGUAAGAAACUAUGUAAUUAACUAAAUUUUCACAAGAAUUUGAAGAUAGCACAUGAAACAUACCUUAAUUUGGAUGCUAAAACAGCCGAAAGUUUGAUCUCUCCUAUCCCCUCUUUUUUUCUUUUAAGAAAUCGGCAAUGAAGAACAAGAGUAAUUAACCUUGUUCUUUUCACCCAUUUACUUAUUUUAUUAUAAUAUAAAAUUGUUAUUACAUAUUAUAAUACAUUUAUAUAUAUAAAUACAUAUAAAAUUUAUACUUUCGACCAUUAUAAAAAAAAUGGCAAUUUGACAUGCACAUCCUUAUGAUUUUUAAACCAUAUAGUAAUAAGCCAUCACAAAACUAGCACAUUUUCAAAAUUCUCACACAAGUCCCUUUCAAUAAAUUUCAGUCAAAGCACCACAAAUUCACAUAUGCAUUUUCACACAAAUUAAGCACGAAAUUUAACAUUCAAUUAUUUUCACGACUCGGUUUAGUAGUCCCGAAACCACUUCCCGACUAGGAUCAAAUUAGGGCUGUCACAAGGGUGGAGUGGGGUUUUUUGAAGGCAGUAAUGCUUCGAAUGGGAUUCGCAGAAGAAUGGGUGGAACUAGUUAUGAGGUGUAUCUCCACUACCUCGUAUGUAGUAACCAUAAAUGGGAGAAGUGAUAUUUUCAAACCUACAAGAGACCUCCGACAAGGCAAUCCACUUAGCCCUUUUCUUUUUCUAAUAUGUAGCGAAGGGUUAUCUUCUUUGAUUAGGCUGGCGACGAAAGAGGGAUUGAUAAAGAGUGUUAAGGCUAGUAGAAGAGGACCAGUAAUUUCACAUUUACUAUUUGCAGAUGAUUGUAUUUUGUUUGGUGAAGCUACAAAAGGUGGAACAAGGAUUUUAAAGGAUAUUUUAAGGGAAUAUGAACGAUGCUCCAGUCAAUGCGUAAACUUCAAUAAAUCAACCAUUUUCUUUAGCUUAAAUAUGAUAGAGGAGGACAAAAAAGAAAUCUCAAAUGAUAUGGGAGUGAGGUGCUUGAUAAAUAUGGAAAAAUAUCUAGGCCUCCCUAAUGUGGUGGGUAGACGAAAGAAGGAUUCGUUUCAAAAUCUUAAGGAUAGAAUUAGGCAGAGAAUUGCAAACUGGAGCACAAGACUAUUAUCUCAAGGAGGAAAGGAGGUGUUAAUAAAGUCCGUACUCUAAGCAAUACCAACCUAUGCAAUGACAUGUUUUCUUUUACCUAAGGCACUUUGUGGGGAUUUUAAAAGUAUUUUUUCUAGAUUCUGGUGGCAAAAAGGUAAAGGGAAACGAGGAAUUAAUUGGUGUCAAUGGAAAUUUAUGUGCUGUCCUAAAGGGGAGGGAGGAAUGGGCUUCAGAAAUAUGGCACAAUUUAACCUUUCAUUAUUAGCAAAGCAAGGAUGGAGGAUUAUUAAUAAUCAGAAUUCUCUCAUUACACGAGUUUUUAAAGCAAAAUAUUUUCUAAACGAUAAUUUUUUAAAUUCUCAACUGGGAAACUCUAGUUCUUAUGUUUGGAAAAGUAUUUGGGCAGCUAGAGGUGUAUUGGAAAAAGGAUUAUCCUGGAAGGUUGGUACAGGGCUUAACAUCUCUAUCAAUUAUGAUGCUUGGAUACCAGACGCGACAAUUUUAGACUAUCUACAGAGAUUAAUGCUAUGCGUGAUCUUAAAGUAAGUAAUUUGAACGAUAGCAACAAUAGAAUAUGGAAUAAGGAGCUAAUUCGUAAUACCUUCCCAGUAGAAGAUGCUGCAAAAAUCCUUCGUAUUCCCUUAGCACUAGCACCUCACAAUAAUUUCCUCACGUGAGGGCCGAAGCUUCGGGCGAAUUCUCGGUACGUAGCGCCUACAAACUAUUAUAAGUUUUUGAUAGAAUUACUAGAGCUUAUGCUUUACUGACCAUUUAUAGCAAUUUUUACAAAAAAAAAUCUGGCUACUAAAUCUACCAGCAAAAAUAAAGUUUACAAUCUGGAAACUUUCAUGGAACUAUCUGCCUACAAAAACUAAUAUGCUGAGUAGGAAUCUAGCAAUCAAUACAAAUUGUCCUCGGUGUGAGGGGAGGGCUGAAACCAUUGAUCAUCUAUUCCGAGAAUCCCUGUUACAGUGGAAGUAUGGAUAGCGUUAUCCAUCCAGAAUAUAGUCAUAGUACAAAAUAUGGAAUUCUUACGGUGGCUUACCUGGGUUUUUGAGCAGUCCACUCCUUGCGAGUGUAGUCUUUUCUGCUGCGGCUUUUGGGCCAUAUGGGGAGAUAGAAAUAAAAGAAUACAUACAGAAAGGUUAGUACUGGUAAGGAGGUUGCAAACUUCAUCAUCAACUACAAUAAUGAGAUCUCUGUUUUUGGAAAAAAAAUUUAGGAGAAAGAGCAGAUAAUGAAAGAUGGCAGUUACCACCUAAUGGGUUCUUCAAGAUCAAUUUUAAUGUUGCGUACAAUGAAAGGCUACAACAGUCGGACUCUGGCAUAGUCGUUAAAAAUAAGGAAGGAAGAGUUCUCUUAUCUUGUUCAGAGAUACAUCAAGAAAUUACCUCAGCUUUUGCUGUUGAAGCAGUAGCAUGUCGGAAAGCAGUUCAGAUAAGGGUAGAAAGGGGUUGGCAGUCUAUCAUCAUCGAAGGUGAUUCCCUCGCAAUAAUCAGAAAAUGCAAGUCACAAAGUCAGGAUCGGUCACUGGUAGCGUCAUAUAUAUACGAUAUACAAUAGAUGACAAAGAGAUCUAAUAUAGUCAGUUUCAAACACACACCGAGACAAGCAAACGCCCUUGCUCAUCUCCUGGCAACAGAAACUUUAAAACGAAGGGAGGAGGUGUACCUAGAAAUGGAAGUCCCUACAUAUGCUGAAGAUCAAAAACGGAUUGAUUGGGUGCGUGAACCGGAUUGAGGAGUCUGUUGGGGAAGAAGGAAGGAGGAGAACAAGCUUCAUUGAAAAACUUUUGAAAAUAGGCUUUUGGAAGACUGAAAUCGUCAAAACUGAUAGAAAUGACGGAAAGAUAGUCUGCAGUUUUCAGAACGUUUUGAUUGGGCAAUGGUUCGGCGCAUUAAUUGCGGUUCCAGAAUUUUCUUUAAAAUAUCUAGAUUGUUUGUUAUGUUUUAGGAUAGCUGUUUAUUUUGUGUUCUCUUAUUUUGGGCCUUUCUUUUUUGGGCCGUGCUAUUUCGUUAAUUUUGGAUUAGUUUAUCCAGUGAACAUUUUUGUAUUCACUUUAUUAUAUUUAUAAAAACCCAAUCUGAUUUUUC
This 8218-nucleotide long non-coding RNA is filed under the name Gossypium barbadense (sea-island cotton). Its description in RNAcentral is "long non-coding RNA (GBAR_LNC010325)". Lineage: Eukaryota; Viridiplantae; Streptophyta; Magnoliopsida; Malvales; Malvaceae. The record is from RNAcentral.